This 250-nucleotide ribosomal RNA is filed under the name uncultured bacterium. Its description in RNAcentral is "partial 16S ribosomal RNA". It matches the Rfam family "Bacterial small subunit ribosomal RNA", at positions 527 to 776 of the family's 1533-position model. The record is from RNAcentral.
AGAGGUCUCAAGCGUUGUUCGGAUUCAUUGGGCGUAAAGGGUGCGUAGGCGGCGCGGUAAGGCGGGUGUGAAAUCUUGGAGCUUAACUCCGAAACUGCAUUCGAUACUGCCGUGCUUGAGGACUGGAGAGGAGACUGGAAUUUACGGUGUAGCGGUGAAAUGCGUAGAUAUCGUAAGGAAGACCAGUGGCGAAGGCGGGUCUCUGGACAGUUCCUGACGCUGAGGCACGAAGGUCAGGGGAGCAAACGGG